GACGGACGCUGGCGGCGUGCCUAAUACAUGCAAGUAGAACGCUGAAGGAGGAGCUUGCUUCUCUGGAUGAGUUGCGAACGGGUGAGUAACGCGUAGGUAACCUGCCUGGUAGCGGGGGAUAACUAUUGGAAACGAUAGCUAAUACCGCAUAAGAGUAGAUGUUGCAUGACAUUUGCUUAAAAGGUGCAAUUGCAUCACUACCAGAUGGACCUGCGUUGUAUUAGCUAGUUGGUGGGGUAACGGCUCACCAAGGCGACGAUACAUAGCCGACCUGAGAGGGUGAUCGGCCACACUGGGACUGAGACACGGCCCAGACUCCUACGGGAGGCAGCAGUAGGGAAUCUUCGGCAAUGGACGGAAGUCUGACCGAGCAACGCCGCGUGAGUGAAGAAGGUUUUCGGAUCGUAAAGCUCUGUUGUAAGAGAAGAACGAGUGUGAGAGUGGAAAGUUCACACUGUGACGGUAUCUUACCAGAAAGGGACGGCUAACUACGUG
Molecule: ribosomal RNA, 495 nt
Filed under: uncultured bacterium
Lineage: Bacteria
Description: partial 16S ribosomal RNA
Rfam family: Bacterial small subunit ribosomal RNA
Source: RNAcentral